RNAcentral lists this ribosomal RNA (415 nucleotides) under uncultured bacterium. Its description in RNAcentral is "bacterial SSU rRNA". It matches the Rfam family "Bacterial small subunit ribosomal RNA", at positions 945 to 1359 of the family's 1533-position model. The record is from RNAcentral.
AUUAAUUCGAUGCAACGCGAAGAACCUUACCUGGGUUUGACAUGCGCCGGGAGGUCGCAGAGAUGUGGCUGCCCUUCGGGGCCGGCGUGCAGGUGGUGCAUGGCUGUCGUCGGCUCGUGUCGUGAGAUGUUGGGUUAAGUCCCGCAACGAGCGCAACCCUCGUCCUGUGUUGCCAGCGCGUAAUGGCGGGGACUCGCAGGAGACUGCCGGGGUCAACUCGGAGGAAGGUGGGGAUGACGUCAAGUCAUCAUGCCCCUUAUGUCCAGGGCUUCACACAUGCUACAAUGGCCGGUACAGAGGGCGGCGAUGCCGUGAGGCGGAGCGAAUCCCUUAAAGCCGGUCUCAGUUCGGAUCGGGGUCUGCAACUCGACCCCGUGAAGUCGGAGUCGCUAGUAAUCGCAGAUCAGCAACGCUG